GCCUUGAUAGCUCAGUCGGUAGAGCGCUACCUUGGUAAGGUAGAGGUCGGGAGUUCAAUUCUCCCUCAAGGCUCCA
RNAcentral lists this transfer RNA (76 nucleotides) under Candidatus Undinarchaeales archaeon. RNAcentral's name for it is "tRNA-Thr". It matches the Rfam family "tRNA". From Rfam's summary of the family: Transfer RNA (tRNA) molecules are approximately 80 nucleotides in length. Their secondary structure includes four short double-helical elements and three loops (D, anti-codon, and T loops). The record is from RNAcentral. Lineage: Archaea; Nanobdellati; Candidatus Undinarchaeota; Candidatus Undinarchaeia; Candidatus Undinarchaeales.